UCAUCAUCUGUCUAGUCUAAUCAAUUUUUUUGAUCUGAAUGGUAUUUUGGUGCUUCAGUGUUUCUGAGAUAGGCAUUUUAAUUCAUAACAUGAUAUUUCAAAGGUUGUUGAAUCUACUUUAUAGCUAUUGGUAUGUUCGUUGUAGGGCCGUUGUAUCUGGAUUGAUCCCAUUCAAAAGUCAGAGGAAGAAGAAGAAGAAGUUGAAGAAGAGGAGAAAGUAGAUGAGUCAGAUGAACCACAGCAAGAAGUGGGACCCCCUCUUUUAACCCCACUCUCUGAAGAUACAGAAAUUCAGAACAUCCCUCCUUGGACAGCUCAGUUAUCUACAAAUCUGGUUCCUCAAUAUGCCAUUGCAGUUAUUCAGUCCAAUCUGUGGCCCGGAGCAUAUGCCUUUGCUACUGGCAAGAAAUUUGAUAAUAUCUAUCUGGGCUGGGGUCAUAAAUAUAGUCCAGAUAACUACAGCCCCCCACUACCUCCACCAGUGCAGGCAGAAUACCCUAGUGGUCCAGAAAUCACUGAGAUGAGUGACCCUACUGUAGAAGAGGAGCAGGCACUCCGGGCUGCACAAGAAGAAGCUUUGGCUGCAGCUGAGGAAAUGGAAGAGAUGGAAGAAGAAGAGGAUGAUGAUGAGGAUGAUUAAAAUGCUAGAAGAAUGAGAGAUGUAUACUUUUUCAGAAAUAUCUGAAUAGUUUUUAAAUAAAUUUAUUAUAAUUGAAGCACUCUCAAAAGAUAUGUAUAUGGAGAAGCCCACUUAAAAUAGAUGCUUUGUUUUACUGUU
Molecule: long non-coding RNA, 778 nt
Organism: Gavialis gangeticus (Gharial)
Lineage: Eukaryota; Metazoa; Chordata; Crocodylia; Gavialidae
Exons: 3
Source: RefSeq, a predicted model, not a curated record